RNAcentral lists this small RNA (80 nucleotides) under Aggregatibacter actinomycetemcomitans serotype e str. ANH9776. RNAcentral's name for it is "isrK". It matches the Rfam family "isrK Hfq binding RNA". Lineage: Bacteria; Pseudomonadati; Pseudomonadota; Gammaproteobacteria; Pasteurellales; Pasteurellaceae. RNAcentral also lists the same sequence under 1 other name. The record is from RNAcentral.
GUGGUUGCAAAAUCAACCGCCGAGCCUCGAAACUCGAAUCAUUUAUCAGUGGCGCAGAACACGCCUUAUGCGUGUUUUUU